RNAcentral lists this ribosomal RNA (309 nucleotides) under uncultured bacterium. RNAcentral's name for it is "partial 16S ribosomal RNA". It matches the Rfam family "Bacterial small subunit ribosomal RNA", at positions 504 to 808 of the family's 1533-position model. The record is from RNAcentral.
AGAGACAGCAGUCGCCGCGGUAAUACGUAGGUGGCGAGCGUUGUCCGGAAUUAUUGGGCGUAAAGGGAGCGCAGGCGGUUAGAUAAGUCUGAAGUUAAAGGCUGUGGCUUAACCAUAGUACGCUUUGGAAACUGUUUAACUUGAGUGCAAGAGGGGAGAGUGGAAUUCCAUGUGUAGCGGUGAAAUGCGUAGAUAUAUGGAGGAACACCGGUGGCGAAAGCGGCUCUCUGGCUUGUAACUGACGCUGAGGCUCGAAAGCGUGGGGAGCAAACAGGAUUAGAUACCCCCGUAGUCCCUGUCUCUUAUACA